RNAcentral lists this ribosomal RNA (633 nucleotides) under Triticum aestivum (bread wheat). RNAcentral's name for it is "partial small subunit ribosomal RNA". Lineage: Eukaryota; Viridiplantae; Streptophyta; Magnoliopsida; Poales; Poaceae. The record is from RNAcentral.
AUGAUGAGAUCGUCAACCAUGUUGGUCGACGACCCAACACAGAAUAUCAUGGCAGUGUGUGACUUUGAAAUGAGAUUCACUUCUAUUGUCGCGGGAUGGCUAGGGUCAGCACAUGACACAAGGAUAUUCAGAGAUACUUUGGUGAAGUAUGCAGAUAGGUUUCCACAUCCACCGAUAGGGGGGUACUAUCUUGUUGACUCGGGUUAUCCCAAUUGUGAUGGAUAUUUAGCUCCAUACAAAGGGCAAAAGUACCAUGUGCCAAAAUUUCGCCAAGGUCUCCCACCGAAUGGGAAAAAAACAUUUAACUUUGCACAUUCAUCUCUAGGCAAUGUUAUUGAGCGUUCAUUUGGUGUCUGGAAGAUGAAAUGGCGUAUUUUACAAAAAAUGACAAGUUACCCUCCUGAGAAGCAAGCUCGAAUCAUCAUUGCAUGCAUGGCACUUCAUAAUUGCAUUAGAGAAAGCAAUUUGAGAGACUUGGAGUUUGACAAAUGUGAUCGCGAUGAGAACUACAUGCCAAGGAAUUCACAACCCCUACCCACGGGACAUGUGUCCAAUAUUGUGGUUGGUGAUGAUGCAACCAUGAAAGCAACUCGUGAGGCGAUUGCUGAUGGAUUGAUGGUGGAUCAAGUAUAG